This 69-nucleotide transfer RNA is filed under the name Pseudis paradoxa (paradox frog). RNAcentral describes it as "tRNA-Val". It matches the Rfam family "tRNA". From Rfam's summary of the family: Transfer RNA (tRNA) molecules are approximately 80 nucleotides in length. The record is from RNAcentral. Lineage: Eukaryota; Metazoa; Chordata; Amphibia; Anura; Hylidae.
CAAGAUAUAGCUUAACUAAAGCAUCUCGCUUACACCGAGAACAUGCCCGUGUAACCCGAGCUAUUUUGA